CCAAUAGCGUAUAUUAAAGUUGUUGCAGUUAAAAAGCUCGUAGUUGAAUUUCGGGGUCAGCAAGUUGGUCGUGCCACCGGGAUGUACUGGCUUUGCUGAUUCCUCCUUCUUGUAGAACCGUAAUGCCAUUCAGUUGGUGUUGCGGGGAAACAGGACUGUUACUUUGAAAAAAUUAGAGUGUUUAAAGCAGGCUAACGCCUGAAUACAUUAGCAGGGAAUAAUGAAAUAGGACGAACGAUCUUAUUUUGUUGGUUUCUAGGAUUGACGUAAUGAUUAAUAGGGAUAGUUGGGGGCAUUAGUAUUCAAUUGUCAGAGGUGAAAUUCUUGGAUUUAUUGAAGACUAGCUACUGCGAAAGCAUUUGCCAAGGAUGUUUUCAUUAAUCAAGAACGAAAGUUAGGGGAUCGAAGACGAUCAGAUACCGUCGUAGUCUUAACCAUAAACUAUGCCGACUAGGGAUCGGAUGAUGUUAAUUUUUUAAUGACUCAUUCGGCGCCUUACG
RNAcentral lists this ribosomal RNA (500 nucleotides) under uncultured Glomeromycotina. RNAcentral describes it as "partial small subunit ribosomal RNA". It matches the Rfam family "Eukaryotic small subunit ribosomal RNA", at positions 591 to 1092 of the family's 1831-position model. The record is from RNAcentral. Lineage: Eukaryota; Fungi; Glomeromycota.